AAUAUUGGACAAGGUGGGCAACCCUGAUCCAGCCAUGCCUCGUGUGUGAAGAAGGUCUUCGGUUUGUAAAGCACUUCAUGUAGGGAGGAAGGGCUUUAGGCUACUACGCUGAAGUUCUGACGUUACCAACUGUAUAAGUACCGGCUAACUCUGUGCCAGCAUCCGCGGUAAUACAUAGGGUGCAAGCGUUAAUCGGAAUUACUGGGCGUAAAGCGCGCGUAGGUGGUUCAGUAAGAUGGGUGUGAAAUCCCCGGGCUUAACCUGGGAACUGCUUUCAUAACUGCUGAGCUAGAGUACGGUAGAGGGUAGUGGAAUUUCCUGUGUAGCGGUGAAAUGCGUAGAUAUAGGAAGGAACACCAGUGGCGAAGGCGACUACCUGGACUGAUACUGACACUGAGGUGCGAAAGCGUGGGGAGCAAAC
Molecule: ribosomal RNA, 421 nt
Filed under: uncultured bacterium
Lineage: Bacteria
Description: partial 16S ribosomal RNA
Rfam family: Bacterial small subunit ribosomal RNA
Source: RNAcentral